UACGUAGGGGGCAAGCGUUGUCCGGAAUCAUUGGGCGUAAAGAGCGUGUAGGCGGCCUGAUAAGUCGGCUGUGAAAGUCAAGGGCUCAACCCUUGAAUGCCGGCCGAUACUGUCAGGCUAGAGUCCGGAAGAGGCGAGUGGAAUUCCUGGUGUAGCGGUGAAAUGCGCAGAUAUCAGGAGGAACACCAAUUGCGAAGGCAGCUCGCUGGGACGUGACUGACGCUGAGACGCGAAAGCGUGGGGAGCAAACAGG
Molecule: ribosomal RNA, 253 nt
Filed under: uncultured bacterium
Lineage: Bacteria
Description: partial 16S ribosomal RNA
Rfam family: Bacterial small subunit ribosomal RNA
Source: RNAcentral